This 210-nucleotide ribosomal RNA is filed under the name uncultured bacterium. RNAcentral describes it as "partial 16S ribosomal RNA". It matches the Rfam family "Bacterial small subunit ribosomal RNA", at positions 137 to 334 of the family's 1533-position model. The record is from RNAcentral.
CGGGGGAUAGCCUCUGGAAACGGGGGGUAAUACCGCAUACGACACAGUUGAGGCAUCUUAAUUGUGAGAAAGGGUUACGCAAGUAACUCACUCAAGGAGGGCGUUUUGCGGCCUAUCAGGUAGUUGGUGGGGUCACGGGCCUACCAAGCCAAAGACGGGUAGCUGGUCUGAGAGGACGGUCAGCCACACUGGGACUGAGAUACGGCCCAG